GGAAAACUAGCGGCGGCCCCGGCCUCGGCCCCGGCUCUGACUUACCUCGGAGUCGCUUUCGUUUCCGCGGCCACGUAGCCCCGUAGCCCAGGGAUUUAUCAAAGAUGCUGACCUAUUAAAAAACCUUAGAGGCCAAAGUCAUCUCCUGAACACCACAGAAGUAUGGCAUUCUUGGAUUGGCCUGAGUCCCAUACUGAACCUGCAGCUCCCUCUGGAAGUAACAAAGGUUGUCAUGACAUAAGAAACACAGUGCAACGAGAUUUGCCUUUGACUCCAUCCAAAAGUAUUCAGUUAGUCAGCCCUCAAAGCAUCACCUAGAAGGUAAUAUCAGGCCCAUCUAGAGAUGACAGCUAAUGCCUGACAGCAGAAGGGACAAGUGAAUACUAAACUUCUAACAUGCAAGACUCCUGGAGGACUGGGUUUCAUGAGAACGGAGAUCCCACAGGACUAACGGAAAGAGCACUUACCUUGAGAAAACCGGAGUCAUAAAAGCCUGGGAUGUCGAAGGCAAAACCUUGGCACAGCACCC
Long non-coding RNA from Psammomys obesus (fat sand rat), 529 nucleotides. RefSeq lists it as uncharacterized. The transcript is spliced from 6 exons. NCBI's taxonomy places the organism in Eukaryota, Metazoa, Chordata, Mammalia, Rodentia, Muridae. The record is from RefSeq and is a predicted model, not a curated record.